UUGCAAACUGGAGAUGGCGACCGGCGCACGGGUGAGUAACACGCUAUCCAACCUGCCGAUAACUCGGGGAUAGCCUUUCGAAAGAAAGAUUAAUACCCGAUGGUAUAAUCANACCGCAUGGUCUUGUUAUUAAAGAAUUUCGGUUAUCGAUGGGGAUGCGUUCCAUUAGGCAGUUGGUGAGGUAACGGCUCACCAAACCUUCGAUGGAUAGGGGUUCUGAGAGGAAGGUCCCCCACAUUGGAACUGAGACACGGUCCAAACUCNUACGGGAGGCAGCAGUGAGGAAUAUUGGUCAAUGGGCGCAGGCCUGAACCAGCCAAGUAGCGUGAAGGAUGACUGCCCUAUGGGUUGUAAACUUCUUUUAUAUGGGAAUAAAGUUUUCCACGUGUGGAAUUUUGUAUGUACCNAUAUGAAUAAGGAUCGGCUAACUCCGUGCCAGCAGCCCGCGGUAAUACGGAGGAUCCGAGCGUUAUCCGGAUUUAUUGGGUUUAAAGGGAGCGUAGGUGGACAGUUAAGUCAGUUGUGAAAGUUUGCGGCUCAACCGUAAAAUUGCAGUUGAUACUGGCUGUCUUGAGUACAGUAGAGGUGGGCGGAAUUCGUGGUGUAGCGGUGAAAUGCUUAGAUAUCACGAAGAACUCCGAUUGCGAAGGCAGCUCACUGGACUGCAACUGACACUGAUGCUCGAAAGUGUGGGUAUCAAACAGGAUUAGAUACCCUGGUAGUCCACACAGUAAACGAUGAAUACUCGCUGUUUGCGAUAUACAGUAAGCGGCCAAGCGAAAGCAUUAAGUAUUCCACCUGGGGAGUACGCCGGCAACGGUGAAAACUCAAAGGAAUUGACGGGGGCCCGCACAAGCGGGAGGAACAUGUGGNUUUAAUUCGAUGAUACGCGAGGAACCUUUACCCGGGCUUAAAUUGCAUUUGAAUAUUUUGGAAACAGUAUAGCCGUAAGGCAAAUGUGAAGGUGCUGCAUGGUUGUCGUCAGCUCGUGCCGUGAGGUGUCGGCUUAAGUGCCAUAACGAGCGCAACCCUUAUCUUUAGUUACUAACAGGUCAUGCUGAGGACUCUAGAGAGACUGCCGUCGUAAGAUGUGAGGAAGGUGGGGAUGACGUCAAAUCAGCACGGCCCUUACGUCCGGGGCUACACACGUGUUACAAUGGGGGGUACAGAAGGCAGCUACCUGGUGACAGGAUGCUAAUCCCAAAAGCCUCUCUCAGUUCGGAUCGAAGUCUGCAACCCGACUUCGUGAAGCUGGAUUCGCUAGUAAUCGCGCAUCAGCCAUGGCGCGGUGAAUACGUUCCCGGGCCUUGUACACACCGCCCGUCAAGCCAUGAAAGCCCGGGGGUACCUGAAGUACGUAACCGCAAGGAGCUCCUAGG
Molecule: ribosomal RNA, 1379 nt
Filed under: bacterium NLAE-zl-G234
Lineage: Bacteria
Description: 16S ribosomal RNA
Rfam family: Bacterial small subunit ribosomal RNA
Source: RNAcentral